UGGGGAAUAUUGCACAAUGGGGGAAACCCUGAUGCAGCGACGCCGCGUGAACGAAGAAGGUAUUCGUAUCGUAAAGUUCUGUCCUAUGGGAAGAUAAUGACAGUACCAUAGAAGAAAGCCACGGCUAACUACGUGCCAGCAGCCGCGGUAAUACGUAGGUGGCAAGCGUUGUCCGGAUUUAUUGGGCGUAAAGCGAGCGCAGGCGGUUUCUUAAGUCUGAUGUGAAAGCCCCCGGCUCAACCGGGGAGGGUCAUUGGAAACUGGGAGACUUGAGUGCAGAAGAGGAGAGUGGAAUUCCAUGUGUAGCGGUGAAAUGCGUAGAUAUAUGGAGGAACACCAGUGGCGAAGGCGGCUCUCUGGACAAAGACUGACGCUCAGGUGCGAAAGCGUGGGGAGCAAACAGG
Molecule: ribosomal RNA, 404 nt
Filed under: Chloroflexota bacterium
Lineage: Bacteria; Bacillati; Chloroflexota
Description: Chloroflexi bacterium partial 16S ribosomal RNA
Rfam family: Bacterial small subunit ribosomal RNA
Source: RNAcentral